Rosa rugosa (rugosa rose) is the source of this 1349-nucleotide long non-coding RNA. RefSeq lists it as uncharacterized. The transcript has 8 exons. The record is from RefSeq and is a predicted model, not a curated record. NCBI's taxonomy places the organism in Eukaryota, Viridiplantae, Streptophyta, Magnoliopsida, Rosales, Rosaceae.
GUCAAAUUUUUUGAUCACUUUUUAUUUUAUUAUUUUUUUCUCUGUAGAUUUUGGGAACAGCGCCCUGUCAGAUUUUCUAAUUGCUUCAGAUUCAGAGUGAACAUAAAGAAAUGUCAUUUUAUUUGCUGGGUUAUUUUUGGUUCUCUCAGUAUAUGUGAUUCCUCCUGAACAACUUACCUCAAUUACCGAUGAUGCUGGGUAUCACUAAAUAUGUUUUUACUUCAACUCUCAACUAUGAAACGUAUGCUGAAGGUUUUUAAUCGAGCUGAGGCGUUUGACGACCAUACCUCCAAUACUAAGUAGUUUGAUUAUGGUGGUUCUUCUUCUUCCAAGGCUUUUCCGAACCCAAAGCAUUCUUGAUUAUGAUCUGUAUACUUACAAAUUCGGAACAAUAUUGGGCUGCGAUCCAAGACCCAGAGGGAUGUCAUUAAAGGUAUACACUCUCAAUUUGUUUAUAUGUUGUGAAUUGAAGUACUCUCAGUAUAAACAUAUUGUUCUGUUUGAUCUGUUUCAAUGUGAAUAUCAAUGUUUCCAUAGAAAGAUCAGUUCUCGAUGAUCAGAGCGCCUGCGGAUAGAGGUAGUAAAGGCAAGAGUCUGGGCGACAAGGUUGCUGUCAUCAAGAGGUGCUCCAGCUGCGGCAAGAGCAUCAACAACCGUCUUGAUUUGCUACAGAUAGUCGGUGAUGGAGAGGCUACCCUUUUGAAUGGUCUGAAUCUGUUGGUUCAUAGGAUCUGGUCAAGGCAGCAAGUUUGCGCUCGAGAGUGAGCCAAAGAGAGCUUGCAGAGGUAGAGCCAACUGCGAAAGGGACGAAGAACUCAGAGAGAGAAGCAAUCGGCCAAAUUCGACAGCUAAAGUCUGGUAUGUCAUGGUUUGAGAUCGAGAAUUUCCUUUCUAAGGACUUAUUCCUGGAUCGGUAGCAGCAUUGAUCUUAUUGCACGUUUUCAAGGCUACUUCCAAUGGAGCAGUUCAUCAAAAUUGUAAAAUUUCAAUACUCAUUCUGCAAGGAUACUAAGAAAGGAUACUUUAUCCUUUUACAAGGAAGGCUCCAAUUCAGUUUCUGCUUUCAAGCUUGAGACGUGUUGCUCUCUAACGUUAGCUCUCAUCGAAACUUUCCACAAUUCACAUGGAAUAUUGCAGCUUGGGCAGACAACGAUGUUUGACUAAUCUGUGAAUGUCAAGCAGCUUGAGAACAUAUUGUGAUCCAUGUCAACUUCCACUAUCGGAUAGCCUAUCCGCAGCAAAGCGCGGGCACGCUUUCUAGUUUUCUUUUGUUCUUUGGUUGAUGAUAAGUGUUGUUCAAUUGAUCAAACAUGUUUAUCAGCUAUAUAUGUAUUUGAAUCUGGUAUUCA